GCCCCCGAGACUUCCUUUAGUUAAAGGAAGGUUGACUCGCUUUCUCUCUUCUCUCUAUGUUUGUCCCUCUCGGAAUUUGUCUCUCCGGCGACGACCUGACCACCCGGGGCUAUUCACAAAAUCGCACCUCGUUUCUUGAACA
Molecule: non-coding RNA, 142 nt
Organism: Caenorhabditis elegans
Lineage: Eukaryota; Metazoa; Nematoda; Chromadorea; Rhabditida; Rhabditidae
Source: Ensembl